CUUUUCAGUGUCGAAGAUAGAUCAGAGAGAAUACUGAAUGGUGGAGAAAAAUCUGAUGAAGACUCUCUCCUCUUUGAUUUUUCUCUCAUCCAAAAAUCUAGAACAGUUUUAGGUCUCUCACCCGAGAGGAGAAUGGUCUCCUCUUUUGUUCACGCCAAGGAAGAAAGAAACCCAUCCAAAGCUCAUGUCACAAAGAAGGUUUUUGACCCUUCUUUUCCUCUGAUAUCUCAUGAUGAAAAGUUCUCUCUAAUUAGUAUACAAAAUUAUGGUCUUUUUAUAGUUGUGGUACAAACCAGGUAGGAU
Molecule: long non-coding RNA, 303 nt
Filed under: Elaeis guineensis (African oil palm)
Lineage: Eukaryota; Viridiplantae; Streptophyta; Magnoliopsida; Arecales; Arecaceae
Description: long non-coding RNA (EGUI_LNC063501)
Source: RNAcentral